This 6333-nucleotide long non-coding RNA is filed under the name Hordeum vulgare. Its description in RNAcentral is "long non-coding RNA (HVUL_LNC014885)". Lineage: Eukaryota; Viridiplantae; Streptophyta; Magnoliopsida; Poales; Poaceae. The record is from RNAcentral.
UUUCAUUCAUCUCUCUCGUUCUUUACUUUGUAUUUCAAACAAUGUCUAGGCAAGAACAUACACGAAGGCUGCUCCAGCCACGCGUGCGCCUCCAUCGCUGGCCACAUGCAGCACGUGAGUUUGUACUUUGUAGCCCAAGUUGACCAAUAGCUUGCUCCGAAUCAGCUCGUCGCGACCCAGUCCGAGUGCCUCUGACCUUAGAGCAAGGGAGUCCGGUGAAGGAGCUAUGUACCAAGGCAACGGUCCUCUGCUUCUUAGAAAGAUCAGGACCCUCCAUCGGUCUGAGCAAAGACAUUCUACCUUCCAGAUCGAAGUGAUUGUGCUGAUUCUGCUGUUUCGUGCCCGAGGAAAAAGAUGGAGAACUUUGAGGAGAAGCCGGUUGAAGACAAUUUCUACUUAUUUACUGAGGUAUUUUUUGGCUCAUACAGUUGUGUUAUAAUUCGAAUGAUUCGUUGCAAGUGUCAAGUGGAUACAGCGCACAUUGCACACUACUUACAUCCUUGCAGUUGAAAUUGAGAUCACUAGUAGUAUGUGUUUUGUUAGGUGCCUGUUUCAUGUCAAUGCUCGUCAUAUACAAAUACAGAUUGGUACCACAUACAUGUGCUUAAGUUACCACAUUUGCUCCCAUGUUACCACUCAGACCCUCUUUCUGAGUACUUGAGUGAAAAGGAAAAGGACACAAUCCAUCAUUUUUUUAGUCCUGAAGCAAGUAUGCGUUGGCUAUAGAAAGUUCACCAAUUUUUCUUCAGUCCACAACGUCCAAAGAAAAUAUAGCGGUCGCAUAAGCCUGAAAUUGUCAUCAGUGUCUUACACCAAUAGUACAGGAGCACUAUGUAAAUUAUUGACAUAUAUUGAAAUGUACCGGGCCUUGUUAUAUCAGCAACAGGGAGUCAGGGACAUACAAAGAUGUUCCUAAAUUCAGUAAUAACUGAAACAGAUCAGAAUCACUCUGUACUCUUACAUCAAGUGUUCCUAAAUUCAGUAAUAACUGAAACAGCUCAGCGUCACUCGUAGUCUUAAAUCAAGAAUAUUGAUUAACAUACUACAUAUUUAGAGUAUUUAGCUCGUACCACUGGGCAGCAAAAAAAGGACUGCAAAAAUUAGCAUGAACCCAGAACUGCACGCUCAUGUUUCCCUGACCUGCAGGUAGCUCUCUUGUCAACCCAUUUUACUUUGGGUCACAAAUAUUUCUAACCUUCAAGUAAUUAUUAUUUCCACUGAUACAUAGUACAGUAGUAAGUAGUUUACAAACCAACACAAGAGGGAUAUUCAUUCACAUUGUUUGCCUUACCUACUGCUAACGACACGCACAUUCACUACACUCUCUACUUCAUCUCCUGCACAAAUAAGUAUCUCACACUUGUCAACAUGAAGCCAGGAUGCCUCUCAGUUUUGGUUCAUAGGUUUCGUACAUACAUCGAUUUGACUCAAAUAUGUUGCACCAUAAUUACCAAAUACUACCUGUCUAUAUGUUCCAUACAUCUACCUCAUUGAACCCAUUGUAGAUAUAGUAAUUGUAGACUGUUAAACCAGUAAUAACAGGAGUCUAUUUUAGCUGGAUAUUUGCGGAUUCAGUUGCGCAGAUUGCUGAAGAAAAUCUAUAGACAUAAAUUGGGUGAGGUAAGAGAACCCGCAAUGGUAGGAAUCCAUAAAGGAAUGACAAUGGUCAAAAUAACAAUGCAAAUUACCUGCAUGUCAUAGCAAAUAUUCAGCAAUGUUAUUACUAAACUGACAACAGGAUUUUUGGUUGCAGUCAAUAAUUAAAAGCUAAAUAGAUCAUAGAAGAGAUGGUUUCACCGUAUUUAGACAUUGGGCUUUAAACCUCAUCUUGGUGACUUAUAUUUUAAUAAAAGAAAGGAUAAUAUUUUCCUAUUAAAGGUUAACACAUAAUUUUUUCACAGGAUUUCUUCAAGAAAGAAACACAUAGGAUGGAAAUUAGAAACUGACACCUGCUCCGAUCAAGAAGCGACUUAAAUUUUCCACAGGAUUUCUUCAAGAAAUAAACAUGUAAAUAGACAAAAGUUCCUCACAACAACCAAGAAAGAUUGCAGGUAAGCAUUAUGAAAUUCAGCUUGGUACUUGUGCCACAAAUACUUUCCUAUUAGGAUGGAAAUUAGAAACAUAGACAAAGACUGAAGGUUUGGAAUAUCGACAAAGACUUAGCCAUGGACAGGGGUGCAUGGAAGUUAGCUAUCCACGUUCCAGAGCCAUGACUUGGUUUCGAGAUCUUAUGGGUUUCAACUCUAGCCUACCCAACUUGUUUGGGACUGAAAGGCUUGGUUGUUGUUGUUGUUGUACUUGUGCCACAAAUAAACUACAGUAUAGAACAAAAGCUUGAACAAUAAUAUACCAUUUUGAUGCAAAGUUGCAUCAAUUAGUCUAGAUAACCAUAAGUAACAAUGAGUGCUCCUAAGAGAACCGUGGAAGCCAGCAUAUAUUGUCCCUUGCUCCUUUGUCCAUCUAUUGUAAAAUUCACUUCUAAAAUAACAAAGAAAUUGUAAGGCAUACAUGUAACUGUGUUCUGCAUGUACAGAAAUACUUCAUUUUUAAAGUCGUACCGUAUCUCGUAAAUUUUUAGUCACUUGGUUUAGUUAUGUAGACAUGGCGUUUUCAUUGCCAGUUUCUAGUAGUGACAAAGGAAGGUUGAGUAACUACAACAGUCAGACCGAUAAUAUCUGUGAAUCCACAUAACAAUUAGUAUUCAGUUUGUGCACCUAAUUUAGAUGUUGUAAAUCGAGGCUAUUGACAAGUGGCCUAACCUUACAACAUAGUAUUUUGGUCGGUGUGAGUGCUUUCUUAGUUUGGUUGGUACUAAAUCCUACAGAAUGCACAUAUGGGCAUCAUGUUGUAUGUAAAACAAUAGAUAGCCUGAUGAACAUCAAUCAAACUGAAAGUGCCCAGCAGGAUAAAAUAUAGAAAUAUACCUGAUUUAUUAGUUAGCAUAGUCUUUGCUUCAGUUACCGUGGCAUCAGGAUCCUGUAGGUGUCAAUGAUGGAUGGUUUGAAAACUGCAAAAACGGUACACUCAAGUGAUUGUGAUCCGGGUAAUUCAGAAAAAGAAGCAGCACAAAUAAAAACUUCCCUCGACCAUUGUGUCCACCAUCGUCGUCACCGGCUCACCGCCAUUGAUUUUGAGGUUGCCUCCUACUGGCUUGCCACCUCUUGCCAAUCUAACCUUCGGCGAGUAAACCAUCAAAAAAUAGUGAAGAAAUAGAGAUUUCUAUGCUGCUCCACCACAAAACGCAGGUCUAUCACGAAAAAAAAAAGAAAUCACGGGGAAAAUCAGGGUGCUUGAGAAGCCAGAAUUGAAUCCAAGGGAGCUUACUCAGAGGUGGACCUUGGCUAGUAGGUGAUGGGGGAAAUGAAGAACCGGCAGAUUAUUGUGGUGGUGGGAACUGAUCGAGAAGUACUUGCAGUGACCCGUCCGAUGGCGAGGCACGAUGGUGCUCCUCAGGGAAAUAUUUGGGUCGGGGAUGAUCGUGUCGCCUCGGGAGAUGGAAAUCCAGGCCGCCGACACCCCGCACAGAAGGAGUUCCUCCUCAAUCGGCCACGACCUCUGUGUGCACCUCACUAGUUCAUGGUUGAUGACGCAAUGAAGAGGAGAUGAAUGGAAGGGCUUGCUAGGAAGACGACGAAAGAGCAACGUUCGUUCCCGGCGUCGUCAACGCGGCUGAGCUACUUAUAGGGAGGCAAAAAGAGAGGAAAAAAAAUGAAACCCACCAGAAAAACCCAGAACACAACGUGUCCAUCGAUGGCAUAGAGAGUGAACUAUACAACAGGCAAACAUGGCCACAUGCAUGCAUGAACCAUGCAGCGGUGCACAAGACAAAACCAGCCAAUACACCUCUAGAAUAAGUGAAAAAAACCCGAUAUAUGAUUGGCAACAUGUUUGUUGAUCUACCUGAAAACAUAUACUAACUAAUAUUAUGCAAGUAGCGGUCCAAAACUUAAUUCUGAUAGAGAGUCCCUUUAUAAGCUUGGCAUAAUGUCACCAACAUGAGCUAGAUCUGUUGGCCCGGCAAGGAUGGCUUUUAUAGCCGCGUUCGGCAGUGUAGUCGUCGUACAUGAUUUGACUGGAUUCCUAGCGAGAGACUGAGAAGACCGAGCGUCAAAGCGGUGGAGAAGAGUACAAACCGGCAACCUGAUGAAUCAGCGAGUCUGGACAUGCAUGUGCACUACUACCUCCGUUCCUAAAUACAUAUAAGUCUUUUAAACGAUUUUACUAGAUGUCUACAUACGAAGCAAAAUAAAAAAUAUGUCUAUAUACAUCCGUAUGUGUCCAAUAGUGAAAUCUCUACAAAGACUUAUAUUUCCUCCGUUACUAAAUAUAAGUCUUUCUAAAGGUUCUACUAGAAAACCACAUACGGAUGUAUAUGGACGUAUUUUAGAAUGUAAAUUCAUUUAUUUUGAUUCGUAUAUAGACUAUGAGUGAAAUGUCUUAAAAGACUUAUAUUUAAGAACUGAGGGAGUAUUUAGGAACGGAGGGAGUACAUGCAGCAAGUUUCCUUGUCAAAGCGAUGGAGGCAGCAAGUCUGGACAUGCAUGUGCACUGUACGCAACGAGGAGGACAUCCUUGUCAAAGCGGUGGAGACAAUCCAAAACGGUCAAAGCGGUGGAGAAAAGUACAAAGCGGCAGCCUGGUUAAUUAGCGAGUUUGGACAUGCAUGCAUAUCAAUGCACCAUACACAGAGGAACGCAGCGAGGGGAGUGAAAGGUAUAGCCAGAGCCACGUGUUAUUUUCUCGGAGGCACUAAAAAAUGGUUCAAAAAAUCCAGAAAAAAGAAUCCUUGCGGGCUUAGUAGUCUUAGGCCGUGUUCGGAUUUCCUCCGCUCCCCGACUCUGCGCCGGAGCGGAGUGGCGUUCAGUUAUAAUUUGUGAAGCUGAUCAAAGCGAGCUCUGCGGCUCCGCUCCAAGGGCGUUGCCGAAGAGGCACUUAGUAUAUAACUAGCAAAAGGGUCCGUGCGUUGCAACGGGAGAAAAAAAUACCACACGCUUUUAAAUUUUUUAUAAUCAUUUUGAUUUAUUAAAAUAAUAAGCUAACUAACUAAUGUAGUCAGUCCUAUCCUAUUUUGUUGAGAAAUCAACCCGUCGAUUGUUAAUUCCACCAUGAUGAGAAAUUGAGCGGGACAAGCAAAGCAAAAUAAAGAGGCUACGUGAAUUGAUCAAUGGAUUGUUAUCUUAUUUCACUCAUGGGAUAGAGAAUGUGGGAUCAGGUGACAAACUAAAGGUGGUGUUCCAUUCUCUGUCUCUACAACAAUACAAUCUUACAUUUAAUACAUUCAUUAAUCAGCAAACAAAUCCCCACAAAAUAAAAUUUCUUGCCGGUGUUUGGCACACGGUUAGAGGCAUGGGGAGGGAAUCUCACCAGAUGAUGAGUUCCUGCCGGAGGAGGGGAUACGAUGAGGGGAGCAAGGGUUAGGCGUCUCUAUCUGGCCAUAAGGAGUCGCCGUUGCCGCGCCAUAACCUUGGAGUUCCCCGUGUGAGUCAUGGAGGCCCGCCUCCACAUGCAAGUACUUCGCUCCGUCGCGCCUUAUCCGCACGCCGCCGCCGUUCUGCAUCGAGUAGACGCAUCAUCUCAGUCACUGUAGCUGUCGCAUUGAUUUGAUCGAGAAGUUGUGCUUGAGCGCCGAAACGGGGGCAGCAAGCGGGCAGAGGUACGGCCGCGGAGGCGAGUGGGUUGAGAUCGACAACGGUGGUGGUUGAGGUCGGUCGCGGCGGCGAGUGGUGUGGCAACGGCCUGGGCACAGGCCAGGGUGGACCAGGGUCGACGCGAUGCGCUCGAGCGCCGCAACAGGGGCGGUGAGCGGGGAGAGGUACGGAUGCGGAGGCGGGUGGGUUGAGAUCGGCAACGGUGGCAGUUGAGGUCGGCCGCGGCGGCGAGUGGUGUGGCGGCGGCCUGGGCACAGACCAGGGUAACCCAGGGUCGACGGGAGGAGGCGAUGCGUACGGGUAUAAUUUUUUCAACGAAUCAUUUUUUCUUUUGCGUUCCAGAUAAAUGAUGGAGCGCGGGUUGAAUAACAAAAAUUACAGGUUUUUUUUUUAAAAAUGUCUUGGUGGGUUUUCCAACGAAAACAAUAGCCUCUUUAUUAUUAGAUAUAGAUAUGUAUUUUUUGUUACUACUGCUGAAGUAUUGUAUGUUACUCGCUUUCUGCAAGUUACUAUUUUCCUCACAUCUUGCAUGAAUCUCAAGUUACUAUUUUCCUCACAUCUUGCAUGAAUCUCAUCCAACCAGUACAUGAAAUGGAGGAGCGUCUCAACAGGAAAGUGAAAGAAAGGAAUCAAAUAAUAGCAGAUGAAACCAGAAGCCGUGCGCUUUGAGCUCGUAGAUUGAGGG